This is a long non-coding RNA of Salvelinus fontinalis (brook trout), 927 nucleotides long. RefSeq lists it as uncharacterized. The record is from RefSeq and is a predicted model, not a curated record. The transcript has 2 exons. NCBI's taxonomy places the organism in Eukaryota, Metazoa, Chordata, Actinopteri, Salmoniformes, Salmonidae.
UAAAAGCGAAAGGACCAACACACGCGCGCUCCGCUCGCAGAGCAACCGAGGAAAACUCCUGAUGCAAAAUGGAAACUGUGUCAACGGGACCUGAGCCCUAGGACUAUGCCUCAGGACUACCUGGCAUGAUGACUCCUUGCUGUCCCCAGUCCACCUGGCCGUGCUGCUGCUCCAGUUUCAAAUGUUCUGCCUGCGGCUAUGGAACCCUGACCUGUUCACCGGACGUGCUACCUGUUCCAGACCUACUGUUUUCAACUCUCUAGAGACAGCAGGAGCGGUAGACAUACUCAAUGAUCAGCUAUGAAAAGCCAACUGACAUAUACUCCUGAGGUGCUGACCUGUUGCACCCUCGACAACUACUGUGAUUAUUAUUAUUUGACCAUGUUGGUCAUUUAUGAACAUUUGAACAUCUUGGCCAUGUUCUGUUAUAAUCUCCACCCGGCACAGCCAAAAGAGGACUGGCCACCCCUCAUAGCCUGGUUCCUCUCUAGGUUUCUUCCUAGGUUUUGGCCUUUCUAGAAUUUUUCCUAGCCACCGUGCUUCUACACCUGCAUUGUUUGCUGUUUGGGGUUUUAGGCUGGGUUUCUGUACAGCACUUUGUGGCAUCAGCUGUUGUAAGAAGGUCUUUAUAAAUACAUUUGAUUUUAAUCCAAUCACUAAACAAGCCUAUCUGAACCAUAGAUAUUCUAGAGUGUGUAGGUCUGAGUUCUGAUUCUAUCUCUAUGGCCAGAACUGUGGAACAUGGUAACUAUGGGACACCAAGGCCAUUUAAUUCUGUUGAAAACAAUAGUCAUAGCCCAGGUGGGUUGUUGUUAAAAGUGAGAUAGAGAGGUUUAGACUAUUGAAAGUGUGUGCGUGCGUUUGUGUUUGAGUUUGUUGAAGGCCAAAUAGGAAUUUCAAAGUAAAAGCUUUCCUCCACUGUCUACA